Molecule: ribosomal RNA, 541 nt
Filed under: uncultured bacterium
Lineage: Bacteria
Description: bacterial SSU rRNA
Rfam family: Bacterial small subunit ribosomal RNA
Source: RNAcentral
CCUUACCUGGCCUUGACAUACUAAGAACUUUCCAGAGAUGGAUUGGUGCCUUCGGGAACUUAGAUACAGGUGCUGCAUGGCUGUCGUCAGCUCGUGUCGUGAGAUGUUGGGUUAAGUCCCGCAACGAGCGCAACCCUUUUCCUUAUUUGCCAGCGGGUAAUGCCGGGAACUUUAAGGAUACUGCCAGUGACAAACUGGAGGAAGGCGGGGACGACGUCAAGUCAUUAUGGCCCUUACGGCCAGGGCUACACACGUGCUACAAUGGUCGGUACAAAGGGUUGCUACCUCGCGAGAGGAUGCUAAUCUCAAAAAGCCGAUCGUAGUCCGGAUCGCAGUCUGCAACUCGACUGCGUGAAGUCGGAAUCGCUAGUAAUCGCGGAUCAGAAUGCCGCGGUGAAUACGUUCCCGGGCCUUGUACACACCGCCCGUCACACCAUGGGAGUUUGUUGCACCAGAAGUAGGUAGUCUAACCGCAAGGAGGACGCUUACCACGGUGUGGCCGAUGACUGGGGUGAAGUCGUAACAAGGUAGGCGUAGAUGA